This 347-nucleotide unclassified non-coding RNA is filed under the name Hevea brasiliensis (rubber tree). Lineage: Eukaryota; Viridiplantae; Streptophyta; Magnoliopsida; Malpighiales; Euphorbiaceae. The record is from RNAcentral.
UUGUUUUGGCACCAAAGCUGAAGGUACUAAAACUGUUGCAUGUUAACAAUUUGUUGUUAUAACUUGAAAACUGGGAACUGCAAAAUGUUGACUUUUAUUUUUUCUUUCUCCCUUCAUUUUUCGAUCUUUGGAACAUAAUUGUGAUUUUGGAGAUCUUUUGUCGUUUUAUUUCCAUUGAUAUUGAAAGUUGUGUCCUUCCAGUGUUCUGUUUGUUUUGUUCAAUUUCUUGUGAGGUUAUAGUAUUGUCAUUACGGCUGAAUGACUUUGUUGCUGCAAUUGUAUCUUGUACAAUUAUACUGUUGUGCUUCUUGCAUGUAGAUGUUUAAGUGGUUAAGUUCUUAGAAAAG